Molecule: RNA transcript, 5551 nt
Organism: Clarias gariepinus (North African catfish)
Lineage: Eukaryota; Metazoa; Chordata; Actinopteri; Siluriformes; Clariidae
Gene: fam184ab
Gene name: family with sequence similarity 184 member Ab
Exons: 19
Source: RefSeq, a predicted model, not a curated record
UCCAUGGCAACAGAGUCAGUGCAGCAGCAGCAGAAGCCGCGCGCGCAGCCUGUCACACACACACACACACACACACAGAGCCGCCUCUAAUGCACUGACUGCGUCCAUUCGCUUUCUUUUUAUUUAUUUACUUAUUUAUUUUUAUUUAAAUAUUAGUUUUUUAUUUGUAAGAGCCGGGGAGAUUAAUAUUUCGGAUUGUGUAUAUUGAUGAGGAACCAGGCUUUCGGAUGUAGCGGCUCUCCUUCGGUGCUACAGUAGCUGUGACUUCAUCUGUGUCCGUCGUCCAGAGAGAGAGAGAGAGAGAGAGAGAGAUCAGAGUAACCGCCGCAUUGUGCUCAUUAUAUACAAUAAGGUGUAAAGCGCUUGGAGAGGCAGUGCCCGGUUUAUAUUAGGGAAAAACCAAAACAAACAAACAUGAGUGGUAUUGAGGAAGCCUGUCUCUGCGUGUGAAUUCCUCUGGUCGGAUGUAAAGGGUAAAAAAAUAAGAAAGGGGGAGAAAAAAGAGAGAGUCUGACUCGAGCAUCACAUCUUCACGUCUUUCACUGUCAUUGAUUUAAAGGCGCUGAGAGCGCGUGAAGGAGCGCGUGAAGAUGGCGACUGGAGCGGGAUGGCAGCAAUACUACAAUCCUGCUGGGAAAUACAGCGCUUCAGGAGCAGGCAUGGCCAUGGAGUACACCCAGGACCUGCACCUGAAGAUGAGCAAGAAGAUCGCACAGCUCACCAAGGUGAUUUACGCGCUCAAUACGAAGAACGAUGAGCACGAGGCAGCCAUCCAGACCCUGAAAGAAGCCCACGAAGAGGAGGUGCAACAGAUCCUGUCAGAGACGCGUGAGAAGAUCAUGCAGUACAAGAGCAAGAUCAGCGACGAGAUGGACCUGAAGCGGCGCAUCCAGUCGCUGGAGGAAUCCAUGGAGGUGCACGGCAGGAUGAAGCAGCAGGCGCUGGCGGAGUUCGAGUCGUACCGGCAGCGGGUGGAGGACAUGCAGCUGUGCACUGAGGCGCAGCACACGCAACGCGUGGUCACCAUGUCGCGUGAGGUCGAGGAGAUGCGGCGCUCUUUCGAGGAGAAACUGAGGGCCUUCGCUCAGGUCCAGGCGCAGUUCGAGCAGGAGAAGAGGCAGGCACUGGAGGAGCUGCGCACUGCACAUAGGCAGGAGGUCCAGGAGCUGCUCCGUUCUCACCAGAGCCAGAACGCCAACUACAGCAAAGACCAAGAGAAGCUUAGCCAGCUGCACAAGCAGGAGGUGGAGGCCCUGGCGGAGCGCGUGGAGGAGCUCAAGCAGGACAAGAAGCGCCUGGUGGAAGAGUACGAGGCCAAGCUGAGCAAGGCGCAGGCCUUCUACGAGAGGGAGCUGGAGGCCAUGAAGCGCACGCAGCAAAUGACGGCCGAGAACCUGCUGGCCUGGAAGAAGACGGAGGCGGAGCUGAGGAAGGAGUUUCAGGCGCAGGAGGCGGCGCUGCAGAAGACGCUGGGUAAGCUGCGGUCCGAGCUGCAGCGGGUUCAAGAGGAAGCCAGAGAGAGCCAGGAGAAAUCGCACAAACUGCAGGCCUCGCUCACCGCCUCCGAGGGCAACAUCAAGGAGCUGCAUAAACAGCUGGACGAGGUGACUCAGGAUGCGGAGAUCAUAGCGAUCAGGCAGAAAGAAGCUGAGUGCGAGCUGGAAGCCACCAGAGACAGAGUUCAGCAGCAGGCCACGGAGAUCCUCCUCAAAGCCAGUCAGAUCGGCAGCCUGCAGGCCACACAGAUGACCCACGAGGCGGCCAUUCGCGACCUGGAGUCGGAGAAGUCGCGUCUGAAGGACAAGGUGUUGCGUCUGGAGGAGGAGAGGGGAGCACUGCAGAAUAAGAGCCAAGCUCUGAACGACAGGCAGAGGCAGCAGAUCCUCACGCUAGAGAAGAACAUUCGUGAGGAGAAGCAGUCAUACGAGAAGGAGCUGAUGAACCUGCGGAACAGAUACGAAGAGGAAACCUCACACUUCAGAGAGACGCAGAGCCGUGCGCUGGAGGAGCUGUCCAAGAAACACCGGGCUGCCCUGGAGAACACCCAGAGCUCUUCUGAGAAAGAGAAGAACAGACUGCUGGCUGAGAUGGAGCAGCAAUUCGAGAAGGAGCGCAGUUUCCUGGAGGAGCAGAAGAAGCGUCUGCGGGAGCAGCUGGACAGCCUGAGAGAGGAGCUCACCACCAAGCUGAACAAGGCCAACAGUGAGAUGAGCCAACUUCAGGAGAUGGUGAAGGAAGGGGAGCAGGGUCUGUGCUCGGCUAAGGGACACAUCUCCAGCCUGAAGGAGGCUCAGGAGAAGCUGCUGGAAGAGCUGGAUGCCACACGGGCCAGGCUGAGGGAGACCACCAAUCUCCUCGCAGCACUUCAGGGAGAGAUGGAAACUCAGAAGCAGCAACACGAUGCCAAACUCAUCUCCACUAAAGAGGAUGAGAAGCUCAAAAUGGACAAAAUGGCUCUGGAGCUGGAGCUGAAAUGGACCGAAACACUCAGACAGGAGUGUAAGAAGCUGCGGGAGGAGCUGCGGGAGGACCACGACGAGGACAAGAGGGCUGCUCUCACACAGCUAGCUCAAUCCAAAGAUCAGGAGCUGAGCAAUGCACGAGAGAGCUGGCAGAGGAAAGUGGACGACCUGCUGGAACAGAUUUCACUGUUGAAGCAGAGUCUGGAGAUGCAGCUGUCACAGUCACAACAUUCUCUGCAGCAGCUGCAGGCUCAAUUUAAUCAGGAGCGAGAGCACCUGGGCCAGCAGCUGCAGGAGAUGGAGUUGGAGCACCAGCGAAGGGAGGAUCGUCUGCGUGAGGCCCACUGCUGCGCCAUCCAUGACCUGCAGGAGGCGUGCCAGCACGACCUCAAGGAUUUGGAGGAGCGUCUGCGCCAGCAGCAUCACAUGGAGUUGCAGUCCAUAAGAGAGGCCCACAGGCAGAAAAUCGAGACGCUGAAGCAACAGUCAGAGCAGGAGCUGCAGACGCUACGCUUCGAGUUGGAGGACGAGGGGAAAGCAAUGCUGGCGUCCCUGCGUUCAGAGCUUAAUCAUCUUCACGCCUCGGCUAUAGAGCACCUGCGGCAGACUCAUCAGCAGGAGACUGCGGCUGCCAAGCAAGAGCUGGAGAACGCCCUGGAGCAGAGCAGGAUACAGGAGCGAGAGCUGCUAAGCCGUAUCUCAGAGCUCCAGGAGGAAGUGACACGCAGGAAGAACCAUAUCGCCGAUCUGGAUCACGAGAUCCACACGCUGAACGAGAACAUAAGCGCUCUCACCAAGGAGCUGGAGCUCAAGGGCAAAGAGGUGCUGAAGAUCCGGAGUGAAGCCAACCAGCAGAUCAGGGCUCAUGAGCAGGACCUAUGUAAGAAGCAUGAGCGGGAGAUGGCCGAGCUGAACGCACUGCACAACAGGGAGACACAGAACAUGCUCUCUGACUUCAACAAAGCCCAGGAGCUCCUCAAGGACAAAAUCUCGGCCCUGCAGAUCCUGCUUGAAGGGACGGAAGAGAAAUUCAGGAACCGGGAGAGCAGGCCAGAAGAUCUGCAAGUAAUCGCUGAGCUGAAAGACAUGGUGGCGGAAAGAGAAGCUCUGGUCAAGAAGCUGGUGGAUGACAAGAAGUUCUACCAGCUGGAGCUCGUAAACCGAGAAACCAACUUCAACAAAGUGUUCAACGCCAGCCCCAACGUCGGUGUAAUUAACCCCCUCAUUAAGCAAAAGCGAAAGAAUGACAAAUCGUCCACCCGAUUCAGCAGCUCGCCCAAUCUAAGGGCCAAUGCGGAGGCUGGGGGGACGGGGAGCGGGCCGUCCCAGCCUAAUCGCCUCGAACCCAUCCCCAACUCCCCCAUUCACCAGCUGGAGCUCAACACCAGCAAGCCACUGCCCCCACCGACCCCUCCCUCCGAACCCAAGAAAUUCACGAGGUGAGCUGCACCUCUCUCCGCCACAGACGUCUCUCUCUCUCUCUCUCUUUCUCUCUCCCUCUCUCUUUCUGUCACUUUCUUUCCUUUUCUCCGUCUCUUUCUCUUUCAUUUUCUAUCUCUCUCGCCCAGUGGACGAGCACGCCGAGCACGCCAAGCACAACGCUCGCUUCCCAGCUCAUCUCCAAACAUUUCUAACCACUCGCUGCCGUAUCCCUUUUGAGAAACUGGAAAGAAUCCAAUGUGACACCGAGGAUGACUUUUCUCUGAUAAACAGAGGGCGUGAAAUCAGGAAUUAGAAACUGAAAACGCCGAUCGCGCCCCUCUGAAACAUGUCAUUAACUCCAGUAAUGAAAGCUCUCAACCUUUUAAGCGCUCCGGAUUAAAGGAAGAGGCGGAGCGAGGAUUCCUCUUCGAUCAGUAGAUUUUUUUUUUUUUUUGAGAGAGAGAUAGCGAUGAUGUCAUGGCAGAGACCCAAAUUUGGUUUCUUUCCAGAUGACAGGAAAAAAAGGGGAUACCUCUCUCGAUCUCAACCUGUAAUGUUUAUGUAUGAGUCUUUUUUUUAAAUUAUUAUUAUUAUUAUUACUCUUUUAAAUGGCAUUGGAAUGCAAAAGGGAGCAUGCGUCCCCCGCUGUCAGAGUGCACGCUGGGAGUUGGUGUCUUCCUGUCUCUGUGUGAUGUCACCUUAUAAACUGCACUUUAAGGUCAAGAAUGUCUUCAGCUUUUCAUUUCUUCUCGUCCUCUGUACUGUAUGUCCAUGUGUUUCACUGCAUUUUGAUAAACGCUGUCUCUGCCUCCUGAAAUCUGUGACUGCUCGGCAUGUUCUGUGUGUGUGUUUGGUGUGUGUGUGUGUGUGGUUUGUCGAGCAUGCGAGGCUGUGCUUCGUGUCUGGGGCGCCGCUGUGCGAUUCUGCAUGCACGCUGUCCUGAAUGGGAAUGAAGCGAGCGAGCCGGACCGCCCUACAUUGUCAUGGGACUCGUCCACCUCCUCAAAACACACACUCACAGGCUGCCAGGCUCAGAACAGGACAAGCCCUCCUGAAACAGAAGACUCGCCCCCAACCUCCCCAGAUCCUCAAAGACAAGAGUGGUUCGCCCAGUACUUCACAUUCUGACUUUCUGCAUCUCCAAAGCAUGUCAGCCAAGCCAAAAGAGGAAAAAAAAUAUCACACAGAGAUAAAUAAUUAAAGAAAAAAAAGAGCUAUAUCAUCGUCUUUACAUCCUUCUAACUGUUUUGUUUUAUUUUCUUCACUGUGAAUGGGUUUCUUGUUUGUACAGUAAUUAAUAAUAAUAAUAAUAAUGAUAAUAUUAAAAGUAGGUAUGUUUGACGUUGCAUCUCAUGGCGUAUCUAAAGGGUGGUGACUAUUCUGCUGCUGCCGAUGGCCACGGGGAUGAUGAUGAUGAUGAUGAUUUGUUAAAUGCAGUUGUAAAGUCCUUGUCCUUCUCCCUGUAUCUUAUUUUAGAUUAUUGCACCGUAAUGAGCGUUUGUUUACAGCGGCAUAAAUCCACUUUUGGUAGAAUUGAAACUGUUUGUAUGGUCGUCUCAACACAGAUACAAUGAUGUCUCGCCAAUUUUAAAAAGAAAAAUGCAUAUUUUAUAUUUAUAUUACACUGUAUGUAUGCUUACAGAAUAAAUGAUUAUUGUGAGAUUUAA